AGUAGUAGGCGCAUGCGUGGUUGCGAUCAUGGCUGGCGGUAACUUCGCGUUUCUGUUACCCAUUUUUAAAACGCAUCUUCAGGUGUUCCUUCCUUCUCAUGGAAGGAACAUUAAUUAAAUUCAGAGGGACUGGGUUUUAGUCCUAACUCUUAUUCCUACUGGCUGUGUAACCGUGGACAAAUUAUUUAACUUCUCAGAAUCAGGUUGUUCAAACCUGAGGUUGAACUGCAAAAAGGUUACGAAGUGACACUCAGUAGGGCCCGAAUCCAUGUUUUCUUUGAUCCCAAUCUUUUUUAAAAAAAUUUCUUUUAAUUACUUGCCAACAUUUUAGAAUUUGGAAAUCUCACAUGAAAUUCUGGACUUUUGAAGCUGAGGAAUUCCAUUGCAACAAUCAAGGAGACUAAAUAGGAAAUGACACUUCUGUUUGGCCAUCUUGCCCUCAUUGGUUUAGAAUGGCAGUGGUUCUCAACCCUGGCUGCACAUUAGAAUCACUUUAGGAGAGGUAAAACCAUACUCACGCUGGAGACCUACUCCUAGAAAUUCUAAAGAGUUUGGGGCUGGGAACUGGCCAUUGAUCUGCCUUUGAAGUUUCCCAAGUGAUUCCCAACCUCUGAUGUAAUAAAUUUCUGGCUGCUGUCGUAUUUGAGAUUUGACCCCCCCAGGUCUAAGACUUAAUUGAUUUUUAAGGCUGUAAGACAUUUCUAAGACUUUGACUUUUAAGACUUUCCUGCCUCAUUCUGAAGGUACGUAGUCGUUUUCUGUGCCCAAUGUCUGUGCUCCUAAAAAUUUCCCCUUGCUGACCUCUGUGGCUUGCGCCUGUAAUUCUGGCUAUUUGGGAGGCUGAGGCGGGAGGACCACUUGAGUUUGAUGCUGCAGUGAGCUGUGAUUGGGUCACUUGCUGUAAGCUCCCAAAGGGUUCACUUUGCCCGCUGCCUGGACAGAGCCGAUUGAUCAACACUGGGGAAUUACAAUAAAGAGUAAUUCACGCAGAGCUGGCUGUGCAGGAGACCAGAGUUUUAUUAUUACUCAAAUCAGUAUCCCAUAGCAUUCGGGGAUCAGAGUUUUUAAGGACAAUUUGGUGCGUGGGGAGACAGCCAGUAAGUCGGAAGUGCUGAUUGGUUGGGUCAGAGAUGAAAUCACAGGGAGUGGAAGCUGUCUUGUACUGCCUCAGUUCCUGGGUCGGGGCCACAAGAUCAGAUGAGCCAGUUUGCCGAUCUGGGUGGUGCCAGCUGAUCCAUUUUGCAGGCUCUGCAAAGUAUCUCAAGCACUGAUGUUAGGCUUUACAAUAGUGUUAUUCCCAGGAGCAAUUUGGGAAGGGUCAGAAUCUUAGUUCCUGGGUUGGGACCACAAGAUCAGAUGAGCCAGUUUACCUAUCUGGGUGGUUCCAGCUGAUCCAUUUUGCAGGGUCUGCAAAAUAUCUCAAACACUGAUGUUAGGCUUUACAAUAGAGUUGUUAUCCCCAGGAGCAAUUUGGGGAGGGUCAGAAUCUUGUAGCCUCCAGCUGCAUGACUCCUAAACCAUAAUGUCUAAUCUUUUCGCUAAUCUGUUAGCCUGUAUACCAAACCUGCACAUGCACUCCCUGAAACUAAAGUAAAAGUUGGAAAGAGCAAAAAAAAAAAAAGAAAUAGUUUAUGUUUUGGUGGAGCUCAGAUAACAACAGCAAGGGACAAUAUAAUGACUAAAAGCACAAACCAACUGUGUGAUCUUUGAUCAAUUAUUUAAUAUCUCUGAAUCUCAGUUUCCUUACCUGUAAAAUGAAGCCAACUAUAUAUAUUUAAAUCCUUACAAAAUUAGUAAAAUAAGCUAUAAUGCACUGCAAUCUUACAAAUUCCUGUAAGGAUUAAAAGAAUUUUUUUAGGCAAGAAGGGGAUUUGUUUAGGGAAAGGGCUGUUAUCAUCUUUGUUUUAAGCUAUAAACUAAAAGUUCUUUCCAAAGUUAGUUCAGCCUAUGCCCAGGAGUGAACAAGGACAGCUUGGAGGUUAGAAGCAAGAUGGAGUUGGUGAUGUCAGAUGUCUUUCGCCGUCUCAGUUAUAAUUUUACAGUGGCAGUUUCAUCACUACAAUCCAGCCUGGGCAACAGAGUGAGACCACAUCUUUAAAAACAAGAAAAAAAAAUUCACCUCAUAUUAUAGUGUUCUUCUGCUAGGCUCAUCAUCAUGAAUAAUAACAACCUGUGUCUACUAUGCCUGUCACUGUGUUAAGUGCUGAAAAAUAGUUCUUUUUUUUUUUUUUUUUUUUGAGAUGGAGUCUUGGAAUGUCACCCAGGCUGGAGUGCAGUGGCACGAUCUCGGUUCACUGCAAGCUCCGCCUCCCAGGUUCACGCUAUUCUCCUGCCUCAGCUUCCCAAGUAGCUGGGACUACAGGCGCCUGCCACCAUGCCCAGCUAAUUUUUUGUACUUUUUUUUUUUUUUUAAGUAGAGAUGAGGGUUUCACCGUGUUAGCCAGGAUGGUCUUGAUCUCCUGACCUCGUGAUCUGCCCGCCUCGGCCUCUCAAAGUGCUGGGAUUACAGGCGUUAGCCACCGCACCCGGCUGAAUAAUUGUUCUUUUAAUCCUUACAGGAAUUUGUAAGAUUGCACUGCAUUAUAGCUUAUUUUACUAAUUCUUGUAAGGAUAUAUAUGGUUUCAUUUCACAGAUAAGGAAACUGAGAUUCAGAGAUAUUAAAUAAUUGAUAAAAGAUCACACAGUUGGUUGCUCUUAGUCAUUAUAUUGUCCCUUGCUGUUAUCUGAGCUCCUCCAAAACAGAAGCUAUUUCUUUUUUUUUUUUUUCUUUCAAACUUUUACUGUAGUUUCAGGGAGUGCAUGUGCAGGUUUGGUAUAUGGGUAAAUUGCAUGUUGUGGGGGUUUGGUGCAUAGAUUAUUUUCUCACCCAGGCAAUAAGCAUAGUACCUGAUAGGUAGUUUUUGGAUCCUCACCCUCUUCCCACCCUCAAGUAGGUCCCCAUGUAUAUUGCUCCCUUCUUAGUGUCCAUGUAUUCAAUGCAGAAACUGUUUCUCAUCUUUUUAUUCAAAUACCUCAUACAUAGUAAGAAUGCAGUGAAUGUGGCACUUAUCCUGCCAGAUGGGCUAAAAAUACCAAAGUCAUUUGCCUUCCUCAAACAUUCAUUGAGCCUUAUUAUAUGCUAGGCACUAGAGAUAUAAGAUUUUUUUUUAAACUGCCCUUAAGAAUAUCAUGGUUGAAUGGAGAAACAUGAGUAAACAGAUGAUUCCAAUGUAAUGUGAAUAUAUAUACUAAGUCCCACAAUAAAGUUAUGCUCAAAAUUUGACAGAAAGGCAGAAGAAAGACAACUAACACUGCCUAGAGGAGUCAGGGAACUUUUGAAGAACCCCAUGCAGUUAAACUAGAGAGAGGAGUAAAUUUGAAAACCAUUAAGAAGGUGAAAUCAGCAGGACUUGUCGGCCAAAUGAAUAUGUAGGGCAACAUUGAAAGAAGUAGUCAAGGAUGACUGUCAAGUUUUGAGCUUGUGUAACAUACUGGGUUAAUCUUACUCCUUGACCUCCACAAAGUCUAAAUUAUGUAGAUUUGAUCCAGGACAGGUGAGCCCUAAAGUGGGUCUUAGCCUGUGGGUUCUUGGCUUUACCCAGGGAAGAAUUCAAGGCCAAGCUGGUGGUAAAAGAAAACAGCUUUAUUAAAGAGGUGUUACAGCUCCAUGACUGCUCCUGCAGAUAUAACAACUCAGGGCAGUUUUUCAGUCGUAUUUAUACCUACUUUUAAUUACAUGUAGAUUAAGGCAGAGUUUAUGCAGUAAUUUCUAGGGAAGGGGUAGUAACUUUUGGGUUGUCAUGUCACUGCCAUGGAAAGGGGUGGUAGCUCCCCGGUGUUACCAUGGCAACAGUAAACUGACAUGGCACAUAGCACACAUGGCACAUGGCACAUGGGAGGUGUGACUUAUGGAAAACUGCUUCCACCCUGUCCCUGUUUUAGCUGGUCCUCAAUUUUGUCCAGUGUCCAAGCCCUGCCUCUGGAGCUCAGUCUUGCCUCCUACCUCACAGUAGAGAUUCACCUCUACAGUAAUUCCCACAUAUACAGUUGGAAAUGGAGACAACAUUAUAAUGGCCAAAAGUAUGUUAUAUUCCUUGGAUACAUUUGUUGUUGAAGGAAAAAAGGUUGAGAACCUCUCUUCUAUUCUUGAUGUGCCCUCCUAGUUCAGCUCCUUAUAGCCUAAACUAUAAUAGCUGGAAGCUAUCUCGUCUACCAGCCUCUAGUCUCCACCUUUGCUAUAUACUCUAUACACUGUAGUUAAGAUCAGGCUUCUACAUCAUUGCUCUGCUCAUGUCACUCCCCUGUUCAAACACCUCCAGUGAGUUACCAAGGGCUACCUCCCUAAAUCUGUUUAUCUUCUGAAAAUAAGUGUAC
RNAcentral lists this long non-coding RNA (4354 nucleotides) under Homo sapiens (human). RNAcentral's name for it is "non-protein coding lnc-IL6-8:3". Lineage: Eukaryota; Metazoa; Chordata; Mammalia; Primates; Hominidae. The record is from RNAcentral.